AGCCAGUCGACAAGUCCCAAAUAGAACGAAACGCGCUUCCUGGAU
This 45-nucleotide non-coding RNA is filed under the name Schistosoma margrebowiei. Lineage: Eukaryota; Metazoa; Platyhelminthes; Trematoda; Strigeidida; Schistosomatidae. The record is from RNAcentral.